AGAGUUUGAUCCUGGCUCAGGAUGAACGCUAGCUACAGGCUUAACACAUGCAAGUCGAGGGGAAACGACAUCGAAAGCUUGCUUUUGAUGGGCGUCGACCGGCGCACGGGUGAGUAACGCGUAUCCAACCUGCCCACCACUUGGGGAUAACCUUGCGAAAGUAAGACUAAUACCCAAUGACGUCUCUAGAAGACAUCUGAAAGAGAUUAAAGAUUUAUCGGUGAUGGAUGGGGAUGCGUCUGAUUAGCUUGGUUGGGCGGGGUAACGGCCCACCAAGGCGACGGAUCAGGUAGGGGUUCUGAGAGGAAGGUCCCCCACAUUGGAACUGAGACGACGGUCCCAAACUCCUACGGGAGGCA
Molecule: ribosomal RNA, 359 nt
Filed under: uncultured bacterium
Lineage: Bacteria
Description: bacterial SSU rRNA
Rfam family: Bacterial small subunit ribosomal RNA
Source: RNAcentral